Molecule: transfer RNA, 72 nt
Filed under: Clostridioides difficile
Lineage: Bacteria; Bacillati; Bacillota; Clostridia; Peptostreptococcales; Peptostreptococcaceae
Description: tRNA-Asn
Rfam family: tRNA
About the family: Transfer RNA (tRNA) molecules are approximately 80 nucleotides in length. Their secondary structure includes four short double-helical elements and three loops (D, anti-codon, and T loops).
Source: RNAcentral
UCCAAGGUAGCUCAAUAGUGGAGCAACCGGCUGUUAACCGGUAGGCUGUGGGUUCGAGCCCCACCCUUGGAG